AUAAACUUACUAAUUAACAGAAAAUCUUACAGAUUAUGAACAGAGGAUCUACCAGUUGACUUAAUCAAAUGUGAGAGACUAAACUUAAUAAUUCUCAAAAUAUGAGGAUUAAAUUAGGAAUAAAAUCACAAAAUUAGGGAUUUAAUGAAUACAAAUUAGUAACAUUUGAAAAGGAAAAUGGCAAAAAAAUAGAUUUAACAAAAAAAUAAAUUUGUAGAAGGGGAGAGCUAUAACACUAUCCUCGCAAUUUUUCAAAUCAUGCACAUACAGGAAGAUUGGGAAAGGAAUGGCUUCACUUGAGAGAGUUUUCCUCAACUAUCCACAGCUAAAGUUUACACACAUGCCAAAGCUUCUGCAAGAAGGCUAUCAAUACCAAUUCACCCUUGUUUUCAAUUAGUACUAGAUGAGAGUAUGAUUUGAUGAUAUGAAGUUGUACAUUUAUUAGAUGUUGGAUACAACCGAUCUAUUGCAUUGAAUUGGACUAUAAUAUUAAAAAAAGGGUGACUUCGUGUACGAAACAUCUCAUUUUCCAAGGUUAAGCACAUAUCCUUUCAAAUCUUUGUUAUUAAUUGCUAUCCUCAUAAAGACUAACCUUAAGCCAAAAUAUUACCAUCCACAGGCAUUUAUGUCAAACAUAUCAUGGCAGCUCCAUCAACUUUUGCACUUAAUACAUGAUACAACAAAGCCAACUUGAUUCUCAAUUUACUCCAAUUGGUUGUACUGACAUUAAUUACAAAUCAGGAAAGAGGAAACUAUCCUGUAUUCACAUUUAUAAUUAUAUGGCUAAAUUUCUUACUUCUAAGCAUGUCUAGUAGUAAUGAAGUGGCAAGGGAAAGGAAGAAAAAAUAUUGCACAACUAAAUGACUUGGAGAAUGAUGUUUACCUACUUGGUCCAAAUUGUAGAGACUCUCUAGGCUGCAGAAGCUCGUGCUCUAUAGACUCGAAUUCUUUAAGAUUUCUUACUACAUUUUGAACUUUCUUGGAUAGCCGCUCACUAUGUUCUUCAACAAUUUUCAUAAAUGCAGUUAGCUGUUCUUGAUACGUGGCACAUAGGCGCUUCUUAUUCCGCAGCUCCAUGGUUAAUUCCUGAAUUUUCUUGUCCUUUUCACUCAUUGUUUGACGAGCUUCGCGUGGAGCCACUACAAGAGGAUGAUUAUGCUCCUUGACAAAUUUUGUUAUGAUCCACUUUCCAGACUUAUCAAACUUAACAUGAAUCAUUGCCUUACAACCUUCUCUUGUACUAGUACGUGGCUUUCGAACAUUCCCAAAUUUGCCUCGAAUGCUAACACAAUAACCCUCCUUAUUACAACCAAGUCGACGGGCAAGAAUUCUUCCAUCUCUUUCAGAACGACGACAAGACAUCACGCGCAUGACGAAUCCUACUUGCCGAGCAUAUUCAUCAUAAAAUAUCUUGGCAGCAUCUUCAGAUUCAAAUUCCAUACCUUCAUGUGGUUCUACAAUUGAAUCACCUCCUCGCACAAUAGAAUCACUGUCCUGUAAAACCAACUCUUGUCCAGCAGAGCUCUCUGCUAUUUCAAUUCCCUUAUCUAAAUCCACUGCCACAUAGCACCAUUCACUAUUAAAUUUAAAAUCCAUCUAAAAGUAUUCUUUAUCUUUAAAAUUUAAGUGAAAAAGCAAUAAGAAUACAGUAAAAUUAAAAUGCCCACUUUGUUUUUGACAAAAACCAAGUAAAGAAAAUCUUCAUUCCAAGUUAUCAUAAUCUCAGUAAACCACCAGUACCAGCCCAGCAAAUCCACCCAUCCACCAAAAUGAAUUAAAUUCUAUUUCGAACAAAUAAUUCCUCUGGUUUCUCUUGCAACAAAUUCAGAUUAUAUAUGAGCAAGCAAAUAUCGAUAAAGAAACAAAUUUCAAUAGUCUCUUCACCUCCUAACUAAUUUUUCAAACAGUUAAAGGGUACAAACAGCACCAUAUACACAAGAAAACCCAACAAAGCAGCAUCACAUAUUAACAAACUAUUAAACUGCAUCCAAAUCCAAACAAAAAACCAGCAGCUAAAACCAUCAAAUAGAUGCAAAUUACACUAUCCAAAAACUCAGAAGGGUUAAAAUUCAUCAUCGCUACAAAAGAAGCGCAAAACAACACAAACACGGACCCAAAUAGACCAAUCCAGUGAACUGAAAUCCGAGUUUGAUUAUAUGAACCUCAACCUACACUUCCCACCCAUAUCAGACUGAGCAUGGAAGGACCAAAACAAAUGUAGGGGCAAAAUGCAAUAGAGAGAUAGAAUAACGGGCAAAAGCUGAAUUACUGAAAAGUUUAGUGCCUUACUUGAUCCAAGGAUCAGAAUUGAAAGGCGUU
This 2319-nucleotide unclassified non-coding RNA is filed under the name Hevea brasiliensis (rubber tree). The record is from RNAcentral. Lineage: Eukaryota; Viridiplantae; Streptophyta; Magnoliopsida; Malpighiales; Euphorbiaceae.